CGAGCUCUCCCAAAUUGAUUUUAUGCUUGCAUAAAUGAUUUUUGGAUUCGGAGCGAGUGGCGAACUGGUGAGUAACACGUGGGUAACCUGCCCCGAAGCGGGGGAUAACAUUUGGAAACAAGUGCUAAUACCGCAUAAUUAGUUGGAACCGCAUGGUUCCAACUUGAAAGAUGGCUCUGCUAUCACUUUGGGAUGGACCCGCGCCGUAUUAGUUAGUUGGUGAGAUAAAAGCCCACCAAGACGAUGAUACGUAGCCGACCUGAGAGGGUAAUCGGCCACAUUGGGACUGAGACACGGCCCAGACUCCUACGGGAGGCAGCAGUAGGGAAUCUUCCACAAUGGACGAAAGUCUGAUGGAGCAACGCCGCGUGAGUGAUGAAGGUUUUCGGAUCGUAAAACUCUGUUGUUAAAGAAGAACAAGUGUUAGAGUAACUGUUAACACUUUGACGGUAUUUAACCAGAAAGCCACGGCUAACUACGUGCCAGCAGCCGCGGUAAUACGUAGGUGGCAAGCGUUGUCCGGAUUUAUUGGGCGUAAAGCGAGCGCAGGCGGUUUUGUAAGUCUGCUGUGAAAGCCCUCAGCUCAACUGAGGAAGUGCAGUGGAAACUACAAAACUUGAGUACAGAAGAGGAAAGUGGAACUCCAUGUGUAGCGGUGAAAUGCGUAGAUAUAUGGAAGAACACCAGUGGCGAAGGCGGCUUUCUGGUCUGUUACUGACGCUGAGGCUCGAAAGCAUGGGUAGCGAACAGGAUUAGAUACCC
This 762-nucleotide ribosomal RNA is filed under the name Apilactobacillus kunkeei. RNAcentral's name for it is "bacterial SSU rRNA". It matches the Rfam family "Bacterial small subunit ribosomal RNA", at positions 63 to 787 of the family's 1533-position model. Lineage: Bacteria; Bacillati; Bacillota; Bacilli; Lactobacillales; Lactobacillaceae. The record is from RNAcentral.